CGGCUCCCGGAGACUGAAGUCCUCUAUUUAUCCACAGAGCAGAUCCGGCGCGGGCAGCGGCGGUGGCGGUGCAAGCUUCCCCCACACUGCCUCCACCCUGUGCCUGACCGCUGAGCCGGAGGAACCACCUCUAAAGGUGAGAGGGGUCGCUCAGCCUCCACGCCCCUUAACGCUCCU
RNAcentral lists this small RNA (177 nucleotides) under Numida meleagris (helmeted guineafowl). Its description in RNAcentral is "TUC338 (ENSNMEG00000006310.1)". Lineage: Eukaryota; Metazoa; Chordata; Aves; Galliformes; Numididae. The record is from RNAcentral.